RNA transcript from Apis laboriosa (Himalayan honeybee), 3043 nucleotides. It is a transcript of the gene named alanine--glyoxylate aminotransferase, with no coding region annotated. The record is from RefSeq and is a predicted model, not a curated record. The transcript has 9 exons. Lineage: Eukaryota; Metazoa; Arthropoda; Insecta; Hymenoptera; Apidae.
UGCCUAUAACAUUCGAAUAAUUAAAACAAUAAUUGCAUGAUCUUUGCAUAAUUAAUUAAUGAAAAUUUCUUGUUUCAAACGACAAAUAUCGUCACGAUAUCAUGUUAAAGAAAUGCUUCUUUCAUCACUGAUUUGUUACAUAAACUAAAAUUAUCCCGGCUUAUCGAAGUCUAAUGUAUUUCAUGAUUUCACAAGUUUACUGUAACUGUGGUAAGUUAUAUCUAAAUAGAAAACACUUCAGUCAUAAAGAAACUUCUAUACAUAGCACUGGUUCAAUUAUCAACUGGAAAUCUUACUUUAAUAAGACUGGUGUGCAAAUUAAUAAUUUAAAGAAAAAUCAAUUAAUAUGAUGAAUUAUAAAUGGAACAAAUUGGCAGUUCAUAAGGAACCGCCUCAAAUACUUCGAACUAAAUUACAAUUGCCGAUAAAAACUUUAAUGAGUCCUGGACCGACUAAUUGUUCGAAACGAGUUCUUCGAUCUCUACAGAAUCAAAUUCUUGGGCAUCUUCAUCCAGAAUUUUGUAUGUUAAUGGACGAAAUUAAGGAAGGCCUUCAAUACAUCUUUCAAACUAAUAAUAGACUCACUUUGGUACUAAGUGCAUCAGGUCAUGGAGGUAUGGAGGCUUGUUUAACAAAUUUACUCGAACCUGGUGAAACUGUACUCAUUGUCAAGUGUGGAAUUUGGGGUCAACGAGCAGCUUGUAUGGCCAAUCGACUUGGUGCAAAUGUAAAAUUAUUAGAAACAGAAUGCACUAAAGGAGUCACAUUGAAAGAAUUAGAAAUUGCUUUAGAACAGCAUAGACCAGUCGUAGUCUUUAUGGUCCAAGCUGAAUCUUCCACAGGUGUGAAACAACCAUUAGAAGGUUUUGGUGAAGUUAUUCAUAAAUACAAUGCUCUGCUUAUCGUUGAUGUGGUUGCAUCAUUGUGUGGCGAGCCAUUCUUUAUGGAUUCUUGGGAUAUCGAUGCAGCUUACGCGGGCAGCCAAAAAGCCAUUGGUGCCCCUCCAGGACUUGCACCUAUUUCCUUUAGUCCGCGAGCAGAAAAGAAAUUGUUUGAAAGAAAAAUAAAACCUUUCUCGUUUUAUUGGGAUCUUACAAUUCUUGGAAAUUAUUGGAAAUGUUUUGGAAAUGAGGAUCGUGUAUAUCAUCACACUAUGAGUGCUACACUUCUUUAUGGUCUUCGUGAAGCAUUGGCAGAAAUCGCAGAAGAGGGUCUUCAAGCAUUAUGGAACAGACAUGCUGCCGCAGCUGUCAGAUUAAGAAAGGGUCUUGAAUUACGAGGUCUUCAAUCUUACGUAAAAAUUCCACAAUAUCAAUUAUCUACGGUUAUAUCUAUACAGUUGCCACCUGGUGUUGAUGAUAAAAUUGUUAUUCAACGAGCCAUGGAAAAAUACAAGGUUGAAAUUAGUAGAGGCUUGGGCCCAACUGUUGGAAAAGUUUUGCGGAUUGGAUUGCUAGGAGUUAACGCCACCCCCGAAAAAGUCGAUUUUGUUCUACGUGGUCUGGACGAGGGUUUGAAAUAUGCAUCGAUUUCAAUCAUAGUUAGAAUCUAAAUAAAAAAAAAACAUUAUAUUUAAUAGAAGAUUCAAAACCGAUUAUUCGGAUCCAAAUACAGAUCUUAAUCAUAAUAGAAGCUUAAAUAUAUUAAUAAAAGAAAGUGAUAGUUCUUAUAUGUACAUUAUCACUAUCAAAAACUAAAAGUGAUGAUUAUAUAUAUAGAAAAAAAUUGUGUAAAACUACGUCUUUUAUAACAUAUUUCAAGAUCAAAUUGUGAUGCUCUUUUAAAUCGUUGACAUUGUAUCACUGCGCGCGGGGAACCGUUCUUUAUGGAUUCUUAAGACGUCGAUGCAGCUUACGCGGCAGCCAAAAGGCAUUCCAUAUCUCUCCGAAGAUACUUUCGUCUAUUUCAUUCAAUCCACGAGCAGAGUACGUAAUGAUAUUGCGGUUUUCUUUUUAACCGCAACUCUUCUGUAUAGAGUAACCGUGAAAAUCGGCACUCUCUAGAAUAUCAAUUCAAUUCGUAAGGUCAUCACGAUGACUUGCACAAUCUAUUCGGUAUUUUUGUGAUUCAUAACUACGGAUCGUUGAUAAAUUCUUACAGAAUGAUAAUUUGAUGCCUUUUGAAUUAUUACGUUGUUAUCGGUUAUCUGGGAAAAAAAUCUUUUUUUACUUAUUUAUGUUCACUUAUUAUUAUUAACUUUUCCAUGCAUCUUAUUUUUAAUAUCUUAACAUUAAUUUUCUAUUAUUAUCAAUAAUUCGUUACUAUUACUAUUAAUUUACCAACAUUAUAUCUUUACAUUCAAUUAUUAUAAAGUGACAAAUAUUUGUGGAAAUUUUAUUAUAACAUUUUCUUUGUUAUAAUGGAAAGAAAUUGUUUGGAAGGAAAGUGAAAUCCUCGUAUUACUGAGACUUUAUAAUUCUUGGAAAUGAGUGAAACAUUGGUAGAAAUCGCAGAAAAAAACCUUCAAGAAUAUAUCAUAGAAUAUUCAUUGCAGCUAUUAGAUUAAGAAAGAUUAAAAAUUUAAAAGAUUAAGAUAUUAAAAAUCUUAAUUAUGAAAUUUUCAAUCUUAUGUGAAAAUUUCAUAUAAUAUAAAUUAUCUACGAUUAUUUGUAUAAAGCUGCCAUUUGAUGUUGAGAAUUCGGCGAACUAAAAGUUAUUUUUGUCUAAAUUCUAACAAAAAUAUUUUCAUCUUUUUUUAUAAAAAUUUCAUCUUUUUUUUAAAAAUAAAUGUUUAGCAUAUUACUAUUUUGAUAAAAGUUUUAAUUAUUUAUAUUUUUUAUGGGUUUAUACAUAUGUAAUAUAUAAUUUGAUAUCUUUAAAUAUAAGGUUGAAAGUGGCAGAGAUUUGGAUCUAACUGCUGGGAAAUUUAUGAAUUGGAUUACUAAGAAUUAAUACAAUAUUUAAAAAAAUAAAUCUUGUUUUAUAUAUUUUGGACGAGGGUUUCAAAGAAAUAAAAAAAAAUGAACAAGAAAAAUUAUAAUCAAGUGUUUUUAUAAUUAUACAAUAUAAGUAUCUAAUCACACAUUUAUCAAACUAAGAAUUA